This 471-nucleotide ribosomal RNA is filed under the name uncultured bacterium. Its description in RNAcentral is "partial 16S ribosomal RNA". It matches the Rfam family "Bacterial small subunit ribosomal RNA", at positions 28 to 507 of the family's 1533-position model. The record is from RNAcentral.
GACGAACGCUGGCGGCGUGCUUAACGCAUGCAAGUCGAACGAUGAAGCGGUGCUUGCACCGUGGAUUAGUGGCGAACGGGUGAGUAAUACGUGAGUGACCUACCUUUGACUCUGGGAUAAGCCUGGGAAACUGGGUCUAAUACCGGAUACGACCAAUCUCUGCAUGGGGUGUUGGUGGAAAGCGUUAUGGAGUGGUUUUAGAUGGGCUCACGGCCUAUCAGCUUGUUGGUGAGGUAAUGGCUUACCAAGGCGACGACGGGUAGCCGGCCUGAGAGGGUGACCGGCCACACUGGGACUGAGACACGGCCCAGACUCCUACGGGAGGCAGCAGUGGGGAAUAUUGCACAAGGGGCGCAAGCCUGAUGCAGCGACGCCGCGUGAGGGAUGACGGCCUUCGGGUUGUAAACCUCUGUUAGCAUCGAAGAAGCGAAAGUGACGGUAGGUGCAGAGAAAGCGCCGGCUAACUACGUG